Cyanistes caeruleus (blue tit) is the source of this 1464-nucleotide non-coding RNA. The record is from RefSeq and is a predicted model, not a curated record. NCBI's taxonomy places the organism in Eukaryota, Metazoa, Chordata, Aves, Passeriformes, Paridae.
UUGAAAGAAAAUUGCUUAGAAUCAUUCUUCUGUCUCUAAAUAACAUUGCAUUUGCUUCUAAGACUUAUACAUAAAAUAAGAUGCAUUCCACACACUCCUAGAAAGCCUCCUGCACAAGAUGAGUAGUCACAAUGUCCUUGUCAGGAAGGCAAACUGAUCAGCAGUAACAGGACAGAUCAACAGGUGGUUUCUAGUUUUUACUAAUUUUUCUCAUUAUUGUAAGAAAAAAAACACAGUAAAAAGCCAUUUGCAAAGGAAAAGCAUCUAGGAACACAUAGGCAUUCAAGGUCUUUUUGUGGAUGCUGUUCGUUAUACAGUUUAACAGGCUCUUCUCUGAAGAUCUCUCCCACUGAAAGCACACAAAUGUCAUGCUUGUAGGUGAUCUUCUGGGGUCCCCCAGAGAGCAGUAAAUUUCACUUGGGAAUACAGGCACCAAAAUGAGCUCUUGAUACUGAAGGCGGCACAGCACUGUGUAGGUCACAAAGACCUGGGAAAAAAACCAGCUGCGGAAUAAUUACAUACACUGCAAGCAAAAGGGAACAAGAGUUGGAGAAGAGAAUUCAAAAUCUAGGUAACAUCACCACAGCAUGGCAGGUUGCUUUGAACCAGGCAUCUCCUGACCAGAGCAAACCCUGCACAUGCACUAGGCAGGCUUUGCAGAAGAUCUCUACCCAGGGGCCAGUUCUGGAAUUCAGGGACAACAGUGGAGCAAGCCAUAAAACCCAUGAGCUGCAGAAAUACCAGGGGUGAUUUUCACAGCUUCACCUGGACUCUGAGAAGUUUGCAGGUAUGGACAACUCAGCUACUUGCAAGGCCUUGUGUUGCUCAGCUGCUAGAAGCCUGCUCCCAGCAAGAGACCUCCUAACCACACCAGCAGCCAGGCCCUUCACAAAUGCAUGAACAGCCGUGCAGCCCUGACAAGUCCCCAAGUGUAGCUCCAGCUGAGCAGCUAGUCACAUCUCACUGCCAUACAUUACUGCCUCACAAUGAAUGGAAGCAAUGCCCUUCCUGCCAAUUGCCUUACCUUGGUAAGGCCCCUAUCACCCCAGUCUACUCUUUGGCCCUUGGACAGCGCUAUCUAAGCAGCAAGGCCACAUGUUGGCCAGCAGCUAAUGGCUCCUGCUGCUUCAAGCAAGAGGGUUCACCAAGUACCUGAACCUAUUCUCAUCCAUGCUGCUGCCUUCCAGCAUCAAGGAUCUCUGCAGUUAGCCUUACCAUCAAGGUCUUUCCCUGCUUCUGAGGGUCCACAGCAACAUAGUCAGGAUAACCUGAGAGCUUGCUGCUAUAAAGACAACCCUCAGACCCUGAAACAGCAUCUGCAAGAAAGCCUUGGACAGCUACCUUCAGCAUUUCUCUGUUGUCAUGUGUAACAGAACUGGGAAGACAAACAACCUGUUCCCCUUCCACCUAGUGCUACAUAGGGGCAAGCCCCUGAAGCUGUAAUCAUGAAAAUCUCAAAAAAAA